RNAcentral lists this unclassified non-coding RNA (214 nucleotides) under uncultured Cantharellaceae. Its description in RNAcentral is "sequence contains ITS2". The record is from RNAcentral. Lineage: Eukaryota; Fungi; Basidiomycota; Agaricomycetes; Cantharellales; Hydnaceae.
AACUCUCAAGCAGAGAUAGCUUUGUUGCUAUUUUUGCUUGGAUUUGGACUUUUGCUGUGUCAAUGCGGCUGGUCUUAAAUGUAUUAGCUGAUCCUUAUGUGGUUUGGUUCUACUCAGCGUGGUAAUUAUCUAACGUUGAGGACAGUCUUUUAGGGACUGGCCAGAGCUUAUAUUUGGGUCGCUUCUAAUUGUCCUUUGGACAUACUAUUUGAUU